RNAcentral lists this ribosomal RNA (735 nucleotides) under uncultured marine bacterium. Its description in RNAcentral is "bacterial SSU rRNA". It matches the Rfam family "Bacterial small subunit ribosomal RNA", at positions 14 to 794 of the family's 1533-position model. The record is from RNAcentral.
UGAUCCUGGCUCAGAACGAACGCUGGCGGCAGGCGUAACACAUGCAAGUCGAGCGCUACCUUCGGGUGGAGCGGCGGACGGGUUAGUAACGCGUGGGAACGUACCCAGAUCUAAGGAAUAGCCACUGGAAACGGUGAGUAAUACCUUAUACGCCCUUUCGGGGGAAAGAUUUAUCGGAUUUGGAUCGGCCCGCGUUAGAUUAGAUAGUUGGUGGGGUAAUGGCCUACCAAGUCUACGAUCUAUAGCUGGUUUUAGAGGAUGAUCAGCAACACUGGGACUGAGACACGGCCCAGACUCCUACGGGAGGCAGCAGUGGGGAAUCUUGGACAAUGGGCGCAAGCCUGAUCCAGCCAUGCCGCGUGAGUGAUGAAGGCCUUAGGGUCGUAAAGCUCUUUCGCCAGAGAUGAUAAUGACAGUAUCUGGUAAAGAAACCCCGGCUAACUCCGUGCCAGCAGCCGCGGUAAUACGGAGGGGGUUAGCGUUGUUCGGAAUUACUGGGCGUAAAGCGUACGUAGGCGGAUUAGUCAGUCAGAGGUGAAAUCCCAGGGCUCAACCCUGGAACUGCCUUUGAUACUGCUAGUCUUGAGUUCGAGAGAGGUGAGUGGAAUUCCAAGUGUAGAGGUGAAAUUCGUAGAUAUUUGGAGGAACACCAGUGGCGAAGGCGGCUCACUGGCUCGAUACUGACGCUGAGGUACGAAAGUGUGGGGAGCAAACAGGAUUAGAUACCCUGGUAGU